This 284-nucleotide ribosomal RNA is filed under the name uncultured Pseudomonadota bacterium. RNAcentral describes it as "uncultured proteobacterium partial 16S ribosomal RNA". It matches the Rfam family "Bacterial small subunit ribosomal RNA", at positions 1100 to 1382 of the family's 1533-position model. Lineage: Bacteria; Pseudomonadati; Pseudomonadota. The record is from RNAcentral.
AACCCUUGCCCUAGUUGCCAGCGAGUCAAGUCGGGAACGUCUAAGGGGACGUGCCGGUGACAAACCGGAGGAAGGCGGGGAUGACGUCAAGUCAUCAUGGCCCUUAUGGGCUGGGCUACACACGUGCUACAAUGGCCGGUACAGAGGGUUGCCAAGCCGCGAGGUGGAGCUAAUCUCACAAAGCCGGUCGUAGUCCGGAUUGCAGUCUGCAACUCGACUGCAUGAAGUCGGAAUCGCUAGUAAUCGCGGAUCAGCAUGCCGCGGUGAAUACGUUCCCGGGCCUU